This 253-nucleotide ribosomal RNA is filed under the name uncultured bacterium. Its description in RNAcentral is "partial 16S ribosomal RNA". It matches the Rfam family "Bacterial small subunit ribosomal RNA", at positions 524 to 776 of the family's 1533-position model. The record is from RNAcentral.
UACGUAGGGACCGAGCGUUGUCCGGAAUCAUUGGGCGUAAAGAGCGUGUAGGCGGCCACUUAAGUCCUGCGUGAAAUCUUGCGGCUCAACCGCAAGCGGUCGUGGGAAACUGGGUGGCUAGAGUGCGGGAGAGGAGAGUGGAAUUCCUGGUGUAGCGGUGGAAUGCGCAGAUAUCAGGAAGAACACCCGUGGCGAAGGCGGCUCUCUGGAACGCAACUGACGCUGAGACGCGAAAGCGUGGGGAGCGAACCGG